AAGAUUUGAUUCAAUUUAAGCUUAAUGCUCGAUUUGUUCCUGUAGGUUGUUGAGUAUAUUCAAUUGAGUCCACUUUCUACUUUUAAAUCAAAUUAAUAAAAAAAAAAUUCAAUUUAAACUCAAUUGAAUUAUAUAAUGAAUUGCUGUGUGAAAAUGUAUAAUUCUUUUAUGUAGUUGUUUUUACAAUCUUUGAAUUUUUAUCUUUAUUAUUGUAGAUUUUUUAAAAUUUUCUGGAUUCCAGUUCGGGUACUUGAUCCGUUUUAUACAAUUUUAUUAAAUUUUUAGAAAAUUAUAAAAAUUAAUUGAGUUUGAGCAUAAUCAAAUAAUAUGUGGAUAGUAACCAUGGAAUUUGGAAUAAAU
This 360-nucleotide unclassified non-coding RNA is filed under the name Hevea brasiliensis (rubber tree). Lineage: Eukaryota; Viridiplantae; Streptophyta; Magnoliopsida; Malpighiales; Euphorbiaceae. The record is from RNAcentral.